GGCCAGAAUCAGCUGAGAAAACAUGCUUCAGGAGGGUGUCUCAAUUCAGGAUUGGUGGAAACAGCAAGGAAAGAUUUUGAGAGGACAGAGUCAAAGGAAUCUUGGGGCAUAAAAUGUCUGCUGGUGUGUUCCCUGGAGUGGAUGAGUCUUCACAGAAGUCAGACAACUUGGCCUGAGCAGGACGGUCUUGGAACGUGGUCAGGCUCACAAAGACCUAAAUAUGGUCAGGCUCACAUGAGUAGCGAAGAUGUUUCCCAGGCACCUGUGCUGGCCUUGCACAGAUGGGAGUAACGGGGCCCAUGAGGGGUCCAUCGAGAACUCGUGAUUGGGGCGGUAUGUGUCCAGAGAGCCAUGGUUCCCAACUGCCGCCUGCCCGAACACUGAUCCCUUAACUGCUUUUGAAGUUUCCCUCCUGAGAAAGAGUGCUGCGUGAUAUUCUCUCCCCACAUAUAAAGGUCGUUUUCCAAUGAAAAUAGGAUCGAACGUGGUUAUUUACUUU
This 499-nucleotide long non-coding RNA is filed under the name Mustela putorius furo (domestic ferret). RNAcentral describes it as "lncRNA (ENSMPUG00000031980.1)". The record is from RNAcentral. Lineage: Eukaryota; Metazoa; Chordata; Mammalia; Carnivora; Mustelidae.